This is a long non-coding RNA of Brassica napus (rape), 1252 nucleotides long. RefSeq lists it as uncharacterized. Lineage: Eukaryota; Viridiplantae; Streptophyta; Magnoliopsida; Brassicales; Brassicaceae. The record is from RefSeq and is a predicted model, not a curated record. The transcript is spliced from 4 exons.
GAUCAUAAACCUCUUUUUAUUUGCUUAGAUUAAGAAAGCUUGUGUAUUCUUGGUGUCAUAAUUCUCUAGUUCUCCGUGGAUUCGAUCCUAAAAUGCUACAAUGACAUACCAUUCGAUUGUAGUAUUGUUGGCACAUUAGGUUAAUUGACUUGUGGUUAAACGCUUAAUCAGGUAGGUUGCAACAACGAUUGUGAAACAUCUUGCUGUGGCUGCAACAUAGAGAAACAGCGUCCGGUUUGCGUUCGGUGUUGCCGGAUUUGUGUCUUUCAUGUAUAUUGUGACAGAGAAUGUGAACAUUUGCAUCUCUGUAAUGUAACAUUUGCACGUUACCUGUAACACCAACUCAUUAACUUGACCCACAAACUACUAUUUUGGAUGUAUACGUUACACUUUUUUGUUUUUGAGUAUAUUCCUUUCUCCAUUAAAGGCUCUUGGCUAAUAUAUCUGUCACGACCUAACUUCUCCACUCCACCAACUCCACCCAUUAACACAUCUAUUAAACCCACCUUCUCCACUAUGUCACCUGUAAUCAAAAGAAAAAAAAAAAAAAAUCAGAGAGAAGAAAAGAGAAGAGUAGAGAAGAGAAGGGAAGAGAAAAGAAGAGAGGGGAAGGUGAGAAGAAGGAUUUGGAGAGGUUGAGCUCGUCACCGGAGUUCGUUAGAGCCUCUGCACCCCGUGACCGUGUUGAGCUCGCCACCACCGUUAACCACAGACCAUCAUCGUGUUCCUCUCGUCGAGACGAAGCCAUAGACACCAACCGUGCCGCGAUUGGAGCCCGUACGAGCCCUCACGCGCCUCCAGAAGAUCGCCCUGCACGCGCGCGUGAGGGCUCGUCCGGGCUCCAAUCACGGCACCGCCACCGCAGCUCCGCCGUCGCGUUCCGAUUCGGAGUCCAAUUGAGCAGUUGGAGUUCAUAGAUACCACUCCUCUUCCUUGCUAAGGUGAGAUCGAUGAGCAGGAGUGAUCUUAUCGGACUUGGGCUUUUUGGUGCUAUUUGGGCUUUUGGGCUUUUACCACUAUCGGGCUUUGGACUUCUAUCACUCUUAUCGUUUUAUCGCUUUUGGGCCUUUGGGCUUCUAUCUAUCGUUUAUGUUUAUUUCCAUUUCAGACUUUCGGUUUAUGUCGUACUUUAUAUUUCGGAUGUUAUCGUUAUCGGGCCUUUUGGCCUUAUGUCAUCGUAUUGACUUUUAUAUUAUAAUGGAGAUUAUAAUUAUUAUUUGAGUUGUAUUAUUAUUUUAUUUCCGCUUUUAUU